CAUCGUCGGCAACAUGGAGGUGAGUCACCGGCGAGUUGCGGCACCGGUGGCGAACUUUGAGGUGACUCACCGGCGAGUUGUGUCACGGGUGACGAACAUGGAGACGGGUCAUCAGCGAGUUGCAGCACCGGUGGCGAACACGAGGCAUCGAGCGUGUCGCAGUGGCACACUCAUGGUGAAGGCGCACGAGGUGCGGCUCUCACUAAAGCUAGCGGCGACGGUAGCAAUCGGUAUGACAAGAUGGCAUUGCGGCCAUCUCCGUGUUGCACUGACGACAUCGACGACCACGGGCUUCAAGAGAGAAAUAAGUUAACAAGAUUAGGGAGGUGA
This 330-nucleotide ribosomal RNA is filed under the name Triticum aestivum (bread wheat). Its description in RNAcentral is "partial small subunit ribosomal RNA". The record is from RNAcentral. Lineage: Eukaryota; Viridiplantae; Streptophyta; Magnoliopsida; Poales; Poaceae.